RNAcentral lists this ribosomal RNA (2121 nucleotides) under human gut metagenome. Its description in RNAcentral is "bacterial LSU rRNA". It matches the Rfam family "Bacterial large subunit ribosomal RNA", at positions 14 to 2160 of the family's 2925-position model. The record is from RNAcentral.
AGCGUACACGGUGGAUGCCCUGGCAGUCAGAGGCGAUGAAGGACGUGCUAAUCUGCGAUAAGCGUCGGUGAGGUGAUAUGAACCGUUAUAACCGGCGAUUUCCGAAUGGGGAAACCCAGUGUGUUUCGACACACUAUCAUUAACUGAAUCCAUAGGUUAAUGAGGCGAACCGGGGGAACUGAAACAUCUAAGUACCCCGAGGAAAAGAAAUCAACCGAGAUUCCCCCAGUAGCGGCGAGCGAACGGGGAGGAGCCCAGAGCCUGAAUCAGUGUGUGUGUUAGUGGAAGCGUCUGGAAAGGCGUGCGAUACAGGGUGACAGCCCCGUACACAAAAAUGCACAUAUUGUGAGCUCGAUGAGUAGGGCGGGACACGUGGUAUCCUGUCUGAAUAUGGGGGGACCAUCCUCCAAGGCUAAAUACUCCUGACUGACCGAUAGUGAACCAGUACCGUGAGGGAAAGGCGAAAAGAACCCCGGCGAGGGGAGUGAAAAAGAACCUGAAACCGUGUACGUACAAGCAGUGGGAGCCUCUUAAUGGGGUGACUGCGUACCUUUUGUAUAAUGGGUCAGCGACUUAUAUUCUGUAGCAAGGUUAACCGAAUAGGGGAGCCGAAGGGAAACCGAGUCUUAACUGGGCGUUAAGUUGCAGGGUAUAGACCCGAAACCCGGUGAUCUAGCCAUGGGCAGGUUGAAGGUUGGGUAACACUAACUGGAGGACCGAACCGACUAAUGUUGAAAAAUUAGCGGAUGACUUGUGGCUGGGGGUGAAAGGCCAAUCAAACCGGGAGAUAGCUGGUUCUCCCCGAAAGCUAUUUAGGUAGCGCCUCGUGAAUUCAUCUCCGGGGGUAGAGCACUGUUUCGGCAAGGGGGUCAUCCCGACUUACCAACCCGAUGCAAACUGCGAAUACCGGAGAAUGUUAUCACGGGAGACACACGGCGGGUGCUAACGUCCGUCGUGAAGAGGGAAACAACCCAGACCGCCAGCUAAGGUCCCAAAGUCAUGGUUAAGUGGGAAACGAUGUGGGAAGGCCCAGACAGCCAGGAUGUUGGCUUAGAAGCAGCCAUCAUUUAAAGAAAGCGUAAUAGCUCACUGGUCGAGUCGGCCUGCGCGGAAGAUGUAACGGGGCUAAACCAUGCACCGAAGCUGCGGCAGCGACACUAUGUGUUGUUGGGUAGGGGAGCGUUCUGUAAGCCUGUGAAGGUGGCCUGUGAGGGUUGCUGGAGGUAUCAGAAGUGCGAAUGCUGACAUAAGUAACGAUAAAGCGGGUGAAAAGCCCGCUCGCCGGAAGACCAAGGGUUCCUGUCCAACGUUAAUCGGGGCAGGGUGAGUCGACCCCUAAGGCGAGGCCGAAAGGCGUAGUCGAUGGGAAACAGGUUAAUAUUCCUGUACUUGGUGUUACUGCGAAGGGGGGACGGAGAAGGCUAUGUUGGCCGGGCGACGGUUGUCCCGGUUUAAGCGUGUAGGCUGGUUUUCCAGGCAAAUCCGGAAAACCAAGGCUGAGGCGUGAUGACGAGGCACUACGGUGCUGAAGCGACAAAUGCCCUGCUUCCAGGAAAAGCCUCUAAGCAUCAGGUAACAUCAAAUCGUACCCCAAACCGACACAGGUGGUCAGGUAGAGAAUACCAAGGCGCUUGAGAGAACUCGGGUGAAGGAACUAGGCAAAAUGGUGCCGUAACUUCGGGAGAAGGCACGCUGAUAUGUAGGUGAAGCGACUUGCUCGUGGAGCUGAAAUCAGUCGAAGAUACCAGCUGGCUGCAACUGUUUAUUAAAAACACAGCACUGUGCAAACACGAAAGUGGACGUAUACGGUGUGACGCCUGCCCGGUGCCGGAAGGUUAAUUGAUGGGGUUAGCGGUAACGCGAAGCUCUUGAUCGAAGCCCCGGUAAACGGCGGCCGUAACUAUAACGGUCCUAAGGUAGCGAAAUUCCUUGUCGGGUAAGUUCCGACCUGCACGAAUGGCGUAAUGAUGGCCAGGCUGUCUCCACCCGAGACUCAGUGAAAUUGAACUCGCUGUGAAGAUGCAGUGUACCCGCGGCAAGACGGAAAGACCCCGUGAACCUUUACUAUAGCUUGACACUGAACAUUGAGCCUUGAUGUGUAGGAUAGGUGGGAGGCUUUGA